GGACACCACGGUAGGAUUCAUGACUGGGGUGAAGUCGUAACAAGGUAGCCGUAUCGGAAGGUGCGGCUGGAUCACCUCCUUUCCAG
This 86-nucleotide ribosomal RNA is filed under the name Burkholderia multivorans. Its description in RNAcentral is "partial 16S ribosomal RNA". It matches the Rfam family "Bacterial small subunit ribosomal RNA", at positions 1452 to 1533 of the family's 1533-position model. The record is from RNAcentral. Lineage: Bacteria; Pseudomonadati; Pseudomonadota; Betaproteobacteria; Burkholderiales; Burkholderiaceae.